This 254-nucleotide ribosomal RNA is filed under the name uncultured bacterium. RNAcentral's name for it is "partial 16S ribosomal RNA". It matches the Rfam family "Bacterial small subunit ribosomal RNA", at positions 524 to 776 of the family's 1533-position model. The record is from RNAcentral.
CACGUAGGCACCAAGCGUUAUCCGGAUUUAUUGGGCGUAAAGAGCUCGUAGGCGGUUCGGUAAGUCGGGUGUGAAAACUCUGGGCUCAACCCAGAGAGGCCACCCGAUACUGCUGUGACUAGAGUGCGGUAGGGGAGCGGGGAAUUCCUGGUGUAGCGGUGAAAUGCGCAGAUAUCAGGAGGAACACCGGUGGCGAAGGCGGGUCUCUGGGCCGAUACUGACGCUGAGGAGCGAAAGCGUGGGGAGCGAACAGG